ACAGAACCACUGCUGCAUCACUUUUCUUGUUUUGAUAAGUAGCUAUAUCCCUUGCCAUUUAUAAAGCACUGAAGAGACAUUUGGCAGUGUUACGUCAAGAGCAGGCAACUGUUUAGGAACUGUGCAACCCCAGCAAGUAAGUUGUGUGUCUGUGGAGGGAAUCAGGGGCAGUAUCUUUGCAAUGGCAACCAUUUUGAGCUUCAGUUCAGGCCAGUACAGUCACAGUGCAGGAAAUAUAAUUCAGUAUGGAGAAGAUUUCCAUUCUAUGCACAGAGUGUGUUCUGCUAAAAAGGAAGAAACAAAGCCAUCUUAUUUAUUAAAGGUGUGACACAUACAUAAAGAUUGGGACUUUGCUCUUUCUGCUCUCCCUGAAGACAUGCAGUGCACUUUUAAAAAACCUCAACAGUGGCUGAGUCUACCGUGUUUCUUCCAUUUAAGUAACAGUGGCUUAAGCUGUCACAGAGACAGAGGUGAUACCAGUACUCUGUUGCUCUUCCCCAACAGAAGAUAAGUUUGCAAAUCACCCUGCUAGAUGAGAGAACAGUGGAAAGCUCAUAGAAAGAGAGUAAUAUAUAUAAGUACAUGUCAGAGCAACUACAACUACAGCUUUGCUUCCUCUGUCAGGUUCUUUUCUUCAUUUGGAGAGCGGGCAGUUGCAGGGCAAAGUCAGCAAUAUUGCUGCUCUGGGAUUCAUAGAGAAAACCCCUGUGGAACUCUCAUUCUGUGCUUGAUUGAAGAACAUGGUCACACUUUCAGGGUGACCAGUUUUACAAACAAAAAUGAAAGAAGUGAUUCUACACCCUGGGCCAUAUGAUAAGUGGAAAACCUUGCAAUAAGUCAUUUGAUUCAAGACAGGAACCGGGUCACAGUCUCUGUCUUUGGUUGUCUUCAUGUGAUUACUUGAAUAUGAUCUAAGUGAGAGACAAAGAAAAUAUUUUGUCCCAUCAAAACUGGAGCCAAUCUAUCUUUCAAAAAGUAUUUGAGGAGCAUGCAUAAAAUCCUCUCUGCUGUAGGUUUGCCUCAUGAGCAAUCAUGACAUUUAUCCCCUGUUUUACACUAGUUACUCAUCAUCUUCCUGCAUACACUGAGAUAGUGUAUUUCUGCAGCAGCACCCUUAUCUAGCCAAGAGCAUGACUUGUACAAAGGAGAAGAGGAA
Long non-coding RNA from Anas platyrhynchos (mallard), 1156 nucleotides. RefSeq lists it as uncharacterized. Lineage: Eukaryota; Metazoa; Chordata; Aves; Anseriformes; Anatidae. The record is from RefSeq and is a predicted model, not a curated record.